This 205-nucleotide ribosomal RNA is filed under the name uncultured bacterium. Its description in RNAcentral is "partial 16S ribosomal RNA". It matches the Rfam family "Bacterial small subunit ribosomal RNA", at positions 1300 to 1500 of the family's 1533-position model. The record is from RNAcentral.
GCAGGCUGCAACUCGCCUGCAUGAAGCUGGAAUUGCUAGUAAUCGCGGAUCAGCAUGCCGCGGUGAAUACGUUCCCGGGCCUUGUACACACCGCCCGUCACACCACUGAGAGUCGGGAACACCCGAAGUCCGGUAGUCUAACCCGCAAGGGAGGGCGCGGCCGAAGGUGGGUCCGGUAAUUGGGGUGAAGUCGUAACAAGGUAUC